GACGAACGCUGGCGGCGUGCCUAAUACAUGCAAGUCGAACGAGAGCGACCGGUGCUUGCACUGGUCAAUCUAGUGGCGAACGGGUGAGUAACACGUGGGUAACCUGCCCAUCAGAGGGGGAUAACAUCCGGAAACGGAUGCUAAAACCGCAUAGGUCUUCGAACCGCAUGGUUUGAAGAGGAAAAGAGGCGCAAGCUUCUGCUGAUGGAUGGACCCGCGGUGCAUUAGCUAGUUGGUGAGGUAACGGCUCACCAAGGCCGUGAUGCAUAGCCGACCUGAGAGGGUGAUCGGCCACAUUGGGACUGAGACACGGCCCAAACUCCUACGGGAGGCAGCAGUAGGGAAUCUUCCGCAAUGGACGCAAGUCUGACGGAGCAACGCCGCGUGAGUGAAGAAGGUUUUCGGUUCGUAAAACUCUGUUGUUAGAGAAGAACAAGUGCUAGAGUAACUGUUAGCGCCUUGACGGUAUCUAACCAGAAAGCCACGGCUAACUACGUG
This 498-nucleotide ribosomal RNA is filed under the name uncultured bacterium. Its description in RNAcentral is "partial 16S ribosomal RNA". It matches the Rfam family "Bacterial small subunit ribosomal RNA", at positions 28 to 507 of the family's 1533-position model. The record is from RNAcentral.